UUCCGGUUGAUCCUGCCGGACCUGACUGCUAUCGGAUUGAUACUAAGCCAUGCGAGUCUUUGUAGUAAUACAAGGCAUACGGCUCAGUAACGCGUAGUCAACCUACCCUAUGGACAAGAAUAAUCUCGGGAAACUGAGCAUAAUUCUUGAUAGAUCAUAAUGCCUGGAAUGGUUUAUGGUUAAAAUGAUUCGUCGCCAUAGGAUGGGACUGCGGCCUAUCAGCUUGUUGGUGAGGUAAUGGCCCACCAAGGCGAUUACAGGUACGGGCUCUGAGAGGAGAAGCCCGGAGAUGGGUACUGAGACAAGGACCCAGGCCCUAUGGGGCGCAGCAGGCGAGAAAACUUUGCAAUGUGCGAAAGCACGACAAGGUUAGUCCGAGUGAUUUCUGCUAAAGAGAUCUUUUGCUAGUUAUAAAACCACUAGUGAAUAAGGGGUGGGCAAGUUCUGGUGUCAGCCGCCGCGGUAAAACCAGCACCUCAAGUGGUCAGGAUGAUUAUUGGGCCUAAAGCAUCCGUAGCCGGCUCUGUAAGUUUUCGGUUAAAUCUAUGCGCUCAACGUAUGGGCUGCCGAAAAUACUGUAGAGAUAGGGAGUGGGAGAGGUAGACGGUACUCGGUAGGAAGGGGUAAAAUCCUUUGAUCUAUCGAUGACCACCUGUGGCGAAGGCGGUCUACCAGAACACGUUCGACGGUGAGGGAUGAAAGCUGGGGGAGCAAACCGGAUUAGAUACCCGGGUAGUCCCAGCUGUAAACGAUGCAGACUCGAUGAUGCAUUGGCAUAUAGCCAGUGCAGUGUCGCAGGGAAGCCGUUAAGUCUGCCGCAUGGGAAGUACGUACGCAAGUAUGAAACUUAAAGGAAUUGGCGGGGGAGCACCACAAGGGGUGAAGCCUGCGGUUCAAUUGGAUUCAACGCCGG
This 913-nucleotide ribosomal RNA is filed under the name uncultured marine archaeon. RNAcentral describes it as "bacterial SSU rRNA". It matches the Rfam family "Archaeal small subunit ribosomal RNA", at positions 1 to 921 of the family's 1478-position model. The record is from RNAcentral.